GUAGGUGGCAAGCGUUACUCGGAAUCACUAGGCGUAAAGCGCAGGUAGGAGGUUUGGAAAGUCUGUUGUGAAAGCUCCCGGCUUAACUGGGAGAGGUCAACGGAAACUACCAGGCUAGAGUGUGGUAGAGGAAGAUGGAAUUCCCGGUGUAGCGGUGAAAUGCGUAGAUAUCGGGAGGAAUACCUAUGGCGAAAGCAGUCUUCUGGACCAUCACUGACUCUGAUCUGCGAAAGCUAGGGGAGCAAACAGGAUUAGAUACCCUGGUAGUCCUAGCCCUAAACGAUGCUCAUUAGGUGUGGGAGGUAUCGACCCCUUCCGCGCCGUAGCUAACGCAUUAAAUGAGCCGCCUGGGGAGUACGGCCGCAAGGUUG
This 371-nucleotide ribosomal RNA is filed under the name uncultured bacterium. RNAcentral describes it as "bacterial SSU rRNA". It matches the Rfam family "Bacterial small subunit ribosomal RNA", at positions 527 to 896 of the family's 1533-position model. The record is from RNAcentral.